AAAUUGAAGAGUUUGAUCAUGGCUCAGAUUGAACGCUGGCGGCAGGCCUAACACAUGCAAGUCGAACGGUAACAGGAAGCAGCUUGCUGCUUUGCUGACGAGUGGCGGACGGGUGAGUAAUGUCUGGGAAACUGCCUGAUGGAGGGGGAUAACUACUGGAAACGGUAGCUAAUACCGCAUAAUGUCGCAGGACCAAAGAGGGGGACCUUCGGGCCUCUUGCCAUCAGAUGUGCCCAGAUGGGAUUAGCUUGUUGGUGAGGUAACGGCUCACCAAGGCGACGAUCCCUAGCUGGUCUGAGAGGAUGACCAGCCACACUGGAACUGAGACACGGUCCAGACUCCUACGGGAGGCAGCAGUGGGGAAUAUUGCACAAUGGGCGCAAGCCUGAUGCAGCCAUGCCGCGUGUAUGAAGAAGGCCUUCGGGUUGUAAAGUACUUUCAG
This 442-nucleotide ribosomal RNA is filed under the name Salmonella enterica. RNAcentral describes it as "bacterial SSU rRNA". It matches the Rfam family "Bacterial small subunit ribosomal RNA", at positions 1 to 439 of the family's 1533-position model. The record is from RNAcentral. Lineage: Bacteria; Pseudomonadati; Pseudomonadota; Gammaproteobacteria; Enterobacterales; Enterobacteriaceae.